Molecule: long non-coding RNA, 476 nt
Organism: Hypanus sabinus (Atlantic stingray)
Lineage: Eukaryota; Metazoa; Chordata; Chondrichthyes; Myliobatiformes; Dasyatidae
Exons: 3
Source: RefSeq, a predicted model, not a curated record
GUUGGAGGGUCUGAGGUUAGGACAGGAGGAUCGGAGAGUCAUUGGGGUGAGGGUCUGAGGUUAGGACAGGAGGAUCGGAGAGUCAUUGGGGUGAGGGUCUGAGGUUAGGACAGGAGGAUCGGAGAGUCAUUGGGGUGAGGGUCUGAGGUUAGGACUGGAGGAUCGGAGAGUCAUUGGGGUGAGGGUCUGAGGUUAGGACAGGAGGAUCGGAGAGUCAUUGGGGUGAGGGUCUGCGGUUAGGACAGGAGGAUCGGAGAGUCAUUGGGGUGAGGGUCUGAGGUUAGGACUGGAGGAUCGGAGAGUCAUUGGGGUGAGGGUCUGAGGUUAGGACAGGAGGAUCGGAGAGUCAUUGGGGUGAGGGUCUGAGGUUAGGACAGGAGGAUCGGAGAGUCAUUGGGGUGAGGGUCUGAGGUUAGGACAGGAGGAUCGGAGGGUCAUUGGGGUGAGGGUCUGAGGUUAGGACAGGAGGAUCGGAG